GACGAACGCUGGCGGCGUGCCUAAUACAUGCAAGUAGAACGCUGAAGGAGGAGCUUGCUUCUCUGGAUGAGUUGCGAACGGGUGAGUAACGCGUAGGUAACCUGCCUGGUAGCUGGGGAUAACUAUUGGAAACGAUAGCUAAUACCGCAUAAUAGCAGUUGUUGCAUGACAACUGUUUGAAAGGUGCAAUUGCACCACUACCAGAUGGACCUGCGUUGUAUUAGCUAGUUGGUGGGGUAACGGCUCACCAAGGCGACGAUACAUAGCCGAACUGAGAGGGUGAUCGGCCACACUGGGAAUGAGACACGGCCCAGACUCCUACGGGAGGCAGCAGUAGGGAAACUUCGGCAAUGGACGGAAGUCUGACCGAGGAACGCCGCGUGAGUGAAGAAGGGUUUCGGAUCGUAAAGCUCUGUUGUAAGAGAAGAACGAGUGUGGGAGUGGAAAGUUCACAAUGUGACGGUAUCUUACCAGAAAGGGACGGCUAACUACGUG
This 495-nucleotide ribosomal RNA is filed under the name uncultured bacterium. RNAcentral describes it as "partial 16S ribosomal RNA". It matches the Rfam family "Bacterial small subunit ribosomal RNA", at positions 28 to 507 of the family's 1533-position model. The record is from RNAcentral.